CAUAGGUUAAUGAGGCGAACCGGGGGAACUGAAACAUCUAAGUACCCCGAGGAAAAGAAAUCAACCGAGAUUCCCCCAGUAGCGGCGAGCGAACGGGGAGCAGCCCAGAGCCUGAAUCAGUGUGUGUGUUAGUGGAAGCGUCUGGAAAGGCGCGCGAUACAGGGUGACAGCCCCGUACACAAAAAUGCACAUACUGUGAGCUCGAUGAGUAGGGCGGGACACGUGGUAUCCUGUCUGAAUAUGGGGGGACCAUCCUCCAAGGCUAAAUACUCCUGACUGACCGAUAGUGAACCAGUACCGUGAGGGAAAGGCGAAAAGAACCCCGGCGAGGGGAGUGAAAAAGAACCUGAAACCGUGUACGUACAAGCAGUGGGAGCACGCUUAGGCGUGUGACUGCGUACCUUUUGUAUAAUGGGUCAGCGACUUAUAUUCUGUAGCAAGGUUAACCGAAUAGGGGAGCCGAAGGGAAACCGAGUCUUAACUGGGCGUUAAGUUGCAGGGUAUAGACCCGAAACCCGGUGAUCUAGCCAUGGGCAGGUUGAAGGUUGGGUAACACUAACUGGAGGACCGAACCGACUAAUGUUGAAAAAUUAGCGGAUGACUUGUGGCUGGGGGUGAAAGGCCAAUCAAACCGGGAGAUAGCUGGUUCUCCCCGAAAGCUAUUUAGGUAGCGCCUCGUGAAUUCAUCUCCGGGGGUAGAGCACUGUUUCGGCAAGGGGGUCAUCCCGACUUACCAACCCGAUGCAAACUGCGAAUACCGGAGAAUGUUAUCACGGGAGACACACGGCGGGUGCUAACGUCCGUCGUGAAGAGGGAAACAACCCAGACCGCCAGCUAAGGUCCCAAAGUCAUGGUUAAGUGGGAAACGAUGUGGGAAGGCCCAGACAGCCAGGAUGUUGGCUUAGAAGCAGCCAUCAUUUAAAGAAAGCGUAAUAGCUCACUGGUCGAGUCGGCCUGCGCGGAAGAUGUAACGGGGCUAAACCAUGCACCGAAGCUGCGGCAGCGACGCUGAUGCGUUGUUGGGUAGGGGAGCGUUCUGUAAGCCUGUGAAGGUGUGCUGUGAG
Molecule: ribosomal RNA, 1064 nt
Filed under: Escherichia coli
Lineage: Bacteria; Pseudomonadati; Pseudomonadota; Gammaproteobacteria; Enterobacterales; Enterobacteriaceae
Description: partial 23S ribosomal RNA
Rfam family: Bacterial large subunit ribosomal RNA
Source: RNAcentral